RNAcentral lists this ribosomal RNA (492 nucleotides) under uncultured bacterium. Its description in RNAcentral is "partial 16S ribosomal RNA". It matches the Rfam family "Bacterial small subunit ribosomal RNA", at positions 29 to 507 of the family's 1533-position model. The record is from RNAcentral.
AGUGAACGCUGGCGGUAGGCCUAACACAUGCAAGUCGAACGGCAGCACAGUAAGAGCUUGCUCUUACGGGUGGCGAGUGGCGGACGGGUGAGGAAUACAUCGGAAUCUACUUUUUCGUGGGGGAUAACGUAGGGAAACUUACGCUAAUACCGCAUACGACCUACGGGUGAAAGCAGGGGAUCUUCGGACCUUGCGCGAUUGAAUGAGCCGAUGUCGGAUUAGCUAGUUGGCGGGGUAAAGGCACACCAAGGCGACGAUCCGUAGCUGGUCUGAGAGGAUGAUCGGCCACACUGGAACUGAGACACGGUCCAGACUCCUACGGGAGGCAGCAGUGGGGAAUAUUGGACAAUGGGCGCAAGCCUGAUCCAGCCAUACCGCGUGAGUGAAGAAGGCCUUCGGGUUGUAAAGCCCUUUUGUUGGGAAAGAAAAGCAGCAGGUUAAUACCCCGCUGUUCUGGCGGUACCCAAAGAAUAAGCACCGGCUAACUUCGUG